RNAcentral lists this ribosomal RNA (496 nucleotides) under uncultured bacterium. Its description in RNAcentral is "partial 16S ribosomal RNA". It matches the Rfam family "Bacterial small subunit ribosomal RNA", at positions 28 to 506 of the family's 1533-position model. The record is from RNAcentral.
GAUGAACGCUGGCGGCGUGCCUAAUACAUGCCAGUCGAGCGAACAGACGAGGAGCUUGCUCCUCUGACGUUAGCGGCGGACGGGUGAGUAACACGUGGAUAACCUACCUAUAAGACUGGGAUAACUUCGGGAAACCGGAGCUAAUACCGGAUAAUAUAUUGAACCGCAUGGUUCAAUAGUGAAAGACGGUUUUGCUGUCACUUAUAGAUGGAUCCGCGCCGCAUUAGCUAGUUGGUAAGGUAACGGCUUACCAAGGCAACGAUGCGUAGCCGACCUGAGAGGGUGAUCGGCCACACUGGAACUGAGACACGGUCCAGACUCCUACGGGAGGCAGCAGUAGGGAAUCUUCCGCAAUGGGCGAAAGCCUGACGGAGCAACGCCGCGUGAGUGAGGAAGGUCUUCGGAUCGUAAAACUCUGUUAUUAGGGAAGAACAAAUGUGUAAGUAACUAUGCACGUCUUGACGGUACCUAAGCAGAAAGCCACGGCUAACUACGG